GUCAAAGUAGCCAAACACUAAAAUAGGGGAAACUUUAAUGAAUAAACUAUACUAAUUGGCUAAGUAAAAAAUUCUGAAAAUUUUAUGGGAGAAAGGUACAUGAGUCUAGUUUCAAAUAAAAUUAACAGAACUUAAUUUGGAGUUUCAUAGAUCCAGAUAUAAAUGAUUUAGUAACUGUAACUCGAUAAAAUAGCUUAACCUAAACAUGUCUAAUUGUACAAUUAUAGUGUUUUAUCUUAAAAAGCAUGUUAGUAAUUACUUAUUAAUUUCAUAUGGACUUACUAAGCGUAAAGCUUACCCCUCCUCUCCAUUUCUUUAGUAAUGGCAGGUCGGCUCGGGGUUGGAAAUUGUCAGAGGCAGAAUCACACUAUCAAGCUAUCACUUUUGGGAGAAUUAAUUCAAAUAUUAGAAAUAUCAAGUGAGUGGCAUGUAUAAGAAGCUAGUUUUAUAACAUGUAUUAUUAUUAUGAUUUGGCCUAACCUAUUGAUCUACGUUGAGUUAUCGUAUAUGGCCAUGGGAUGUGGCCCAUAUUCACUUUGGUUUGUAAGCUUAAUUAAUCAUGUCAUGUUCUAUGUGUAGAGCCCAAUUUUGGCCCGGGCCCAAAUCAACAAAAACUAAAAGCACAAAAGAAAUAAAAUGUCCAAAUUUCAGUCCAUAUUACAAUCCAAAUCAAAGCCCAAACCCUCAACAGGCCCAAAACUAAAAACCCUAGCCCAAAAACUUAAAAAAUAUUUCAGAAACCUAACCCUAACAACCCUUAUGCGCCGCUCUUCCUUCGGUUACCCUGCUAGUGCCUCGUCCCGAGGCCUAGCAUUCUAGACUGCCACCACAUGUUCCCUUUUCGUUGACCUUGCCUAGCCUGCAACAGUGACGAGAGAAAGAGACAAAAACAGUGAUAGAAAGAAAGCAAAUAGAAGCAAAAGAAACUAAUAUUUUGUAAUAUUCAAUGGCUAUAAGAGCCAUUCCAAAACCAAUGUAAAAGGGGGGAUUUUGAAUACAAAAAAAACAUUGUAUUUCCACACGCACAUCAGAAAUCAAAAGCAAAAAAAAGGUUGAUUUUAAUUUCUUGUGUUACCUUUAUUCAUUUUUCAUUUUUGUUUUUUUUAAUUUUUUUUAUAAAUCUAUUUCAAACAAAAAGGGAGAAGAAGAACUUACCCGGAAUCUCGUGGCCGUGUCGUCGGGGGUUUCCUCCGUCAUUGGAUCUGGACUCGAAAUGGGGUUGAGGCCCUUUGCUUUCUUGCUUUCUAGUUUGAUAGAACUCUCCCUCUUAUUUUCUAAAGCAAAAUGGAAUUUCAAGUUGUUUUCAUCUAGUUCUUUUUUCUUUUUAUUGGUGUAUGAAAAUAAAGAAAGAAAGAAAGGGAGCUCACUUACUAGGCCUUCAUAGUAAUGAUCUCAGGCCAUUUUUUUUCCCCACACCGUCAGCUACCAGAUAUGGUGGUGGUCCGGCGUCAUAUUUGGGUGAAAAGCUAACAGAGAGGAGCUUUGGGGUUUUGUUUAGAAAAGGGAUUUGUAAGCUUAAAAAAAUAUAAAGGUUUCAAUCAAAAUUUAAAAGGCACCAUUAGGGGGGGAGGAAUAUGCGAGUGGCCUGAUCACAGGCUAAAUCCACGCAUUUUCACUUUAAGUGGGUAAUUUGAGUGGCUAGUCUCUUCCAUUUAUGUUGUCUUUUAAUUAAACCCUAUUCUGUUUCUUUCAUUUUUACCCUGAAAUU
RNAcentral lists this long non-coding RNA (1708 nucleotides) under Gossypium barbadense (sea-island cotton). Its description in RNAcentral is "long non-coding RNA (GBAR_LNC000082)". The record is from RNAcentral. Lineage: Eukaryota; Viridiplantae; Streptophyta; Magnoliopsida; Malvales; Malvaceae.